CGAAGACCGAAAAUAGGAGUAUAUCGAACUUCUAGUACUGUAUUAGGAUAGUCGGUAAAUAGCUCAUUUCAUCGAAGACUAUAAUUGGAUUGGCAUCCUCAAAAUAUUCACUUUCAAAUAAGCUAUCAACAUAGGACUUCAAUUUUGAGAGGGGCUAAACCGAACCAAACAAGUUUCCAAUGAUCGAAUGGAUUGGAAUUGGAAAUGAGCACUUGAUGAUAGAUAGAAGCUGAAGAGUGAUUACCAUUAAUGUUGUAUUUCCAAACAAGCUUGUCUUGAAAGUCUCUGCAGAUUGCUUGCUCAUUAAUUACUAUGUUGAAGUUAGCCAAUUGGUCAUGUUCCCAUCCAAAGAUGUUCUUGCGAAGCUCGAUGUUCCACCUCCAAUCAUUGCCAACCUAGUCACCAAACUCAUCAAUAUUACAUUGCUUAUUGGCUGCUAAAGUGUAGAUUAUAGGAAAGUCUCUCUUGAGAAUGAAACCAUCAACGCAUUCAUCUUCCUAAAAGCUGAUGCAGCUUCCAUUACCCAAGGAUAGACCCAUACCAUUCACCAUAAAAGAGUUAAGAUCACAAACACCCAAGAAAGGUUUGGUGAUAUUUUUCCAUUUAUUGAAAGCCUUACUCAAGUUACCUAAGCACGGAAUAAGCCUAUUAUGAUCAAGACCAGAUUUUUCAAUAACAACUUGACUCCAUAAGCUUUCCCGCUCA
Theobroma cacao (cacao) is the source of this 705-nucleotide non-coding RNA. The record is from RefSeq and is a predicted model, not a curated record. Lineage: Eukaryota; Viridiplantae; Streptophyta; Magnoliopsida; Malvales; Malvaceae.